AUGGCGACCGGCGCACGGGUGAGUAACGCGUAUCCAACCUGCCCUUUACUAUGGGACAGCCCGUCGAAAGGCGGAUUAAUACCGUAUGUUGUCAUGUUGAUGCGUAUUUUCAUGACCAAAGGCUUCGGCCGGUAAAGGAUGGGAUGCGUCUGAUUAGCUUGCCGGCGGGGUGACGGCCCACCGGGGCGACGAUCAGUAGGGGUUCUGAGAGGAAGGUCCCCCACAUUGGAACUGAGACACGGUCCAAACUCCUACGGGAGGCAGCAG
RNAcentral lists this ribosomal RNA (267 nucleotides) under uncultured bacterium. RNAcentral's name for it is "partial 16S ribosomal RNA". It matches the Rfam family "Bacterial small subunit ribosomal RNA", at positions 88 to 354 of the family's 1533-position model. The record is from RNAcentral.